AUCGCUUCUUGGCCUUUCAGCUAAGAUCAAAUGUAGCAUCUGUUCUUAUCAGUUUAAUAUCUGAAAUGUCCUCUAUCCGAGGACAAUAUAUUAAAUGGAUUUUUGGAACAGGGAGAUGGAAGAGGAGCUUGCUCCAUCCACUCCAUGCAUUGACCUGGUAUUGCAGUAACUCCAGGAACGGUGCACCCCCC
This 191-nucleotide small nuclear RNA is filed under the name Castor canadensis (American beaver). RNAcentral describes it as "U2 spliceosomal RNA (ENSCCNG00000018014.1)". It matches the Rfam family "U2 spliceosomal RNA". Rfam says of the family: U2 is a small nuclear RNA (snRNA) component of the spliceosome (involved in pre-mRNA splicing). Complementary binding between U2 snRNA (in an area lying towards the 5' end but 3' to hairpin I) and the branchpoint sequence (BPS) of the intron results the bulging out of an unpaired adenosine, on the BPS, which initiates a nucleophilic attack at the intronic 5' splice site, thus starting the first of two transesterification reactions that mediate splicing. The record is from Rfam by way of RNAcentral. Lineage: Eukaryota; Metazoa; Chordata; Mammalia; Rodentia; Castoridae.